This 223-nucleotide unclassified non-coding RNA is filed under the name plant metagenome. Its description in RNAcentral is "partial contains small subunit ribosomal RNA and internal transcribed spacer 1". The stretch from base 1 to 46 matches the Rfam family "Eukaryotic small subunit ribosomal RNA", at positions 1786 to 1831 of the family's 1831-position model. The record is from RNAcentral.
AAGUCGUAACAAGGUUUCCGUAGGUGAACCUGCGGAAGGAUCAUUACCGAGUACCGGGUCUUUCAGGCCCGCACUCCCACCCUUUGUGUACCUACCUUUUAUUCGGUUGCCUUGGCGGACCUCCGUCCGGGACCCCUCACGGGUCUCUGGGCGAAGCCGCCAGGGGACCUCCAUUAAACUCUUGUUAACUGUGUCGUCUGAGAAAUACACAAAUAAGUUAAAA